RNAcentral lists this unclassified non-coding RNA (376 nucleotides) under Hevea brasiliensis (rubber tree). Lineage: Eukaryota; Viridiplantae; Streptophyta; Magnoliopsida; Malpighiales; Euphorbiaceae. The record is from RNAcentral.
GCUAUUGAAGGUUCAUUUACAAAAAGUGAGCUCAAGACACCUGAAGAUAACUCAAAAGAACAGCUUGCACUUCAAAGAUAUACACCACCAAAUCCCUUCCUGUCUCUUCUGAAUGUACUUGGUGUAUUUGGUACUGGUGUUAUUGGUGCGCUCUAUGCAUUGACUAAGAAAGAGAAGAAAGCUACUGAAACAGCAAUAGAAUCUAUGACAGCCAAACUGAAAGAGAAGGAAGCUGCCAUUGUGUCCUUAGAGAAGAACUUUGAGUCAAAGCUAUUGAAUAAACAGGAAGAAUGGACAAAGCAACUCAGAAGGGCAAAGGAUGAACAGCUGGUUCUUGUGAACCAACUAAAAUCAGCUAACAGUACAAUUACAGGGC